RNAcentral lists this long non-coding RNA (1037 nucleotides) under Triticum aestivum (bread wheat). RNAcentral describes it as "long non-coding RNA (TAES_LNC015741)". The record is from RNAcentral. Lineage: Eukaryota; Viridiplantae; Streptophyta; Magnoliopsida; Poales; Poaceae.
UCCCCACCAUGAUACAUCCUCCCCCGGUCGUCGGAUCCGGCCGAGAUCAGUUUUGGACGUGCUACCACUGGGGUGCAUCCCUUUCUUACGCCCCCACGUCGGCCUCCAUGGUUGUUGUCCUCCUCUUGGUCAUGUUCUCACGGCUGGCUUCAAAGAUUACACUCGGCGGUGGCUUAACUGAAUUCAGAGAAGUUUGGACGUAUACAGUUCUACAAUCAAGCACGUGUAUGUGUUUGAUAUAAUGCCUAAAUGUACUAGCAUCCUUUUUGUUGCAUUGGCUGUUGGUGCAUAACAAAUGAGUAGAUGAUCUUAAUUUUCUAUAAGGAUGAUAAUCCUGACUCUUAUUUUUGACCUUCUUUUACUGUGUAUAACAUGCUAAUUUCAACUGAAUAGACUGCCAAUUUGCCAAUCAGUUUGUGUUAUUUUCACUGAAUAUUUUGUUGAUGUGCAGUAAAAUGUUUGUGGUUGCAGGCAGAUCUUGAGUGGAUUAUGUCCUUUAACUCAGAUUUGCUCAUUGCUGUCGGUGGAUACUUGCUCUGAGGGUGUGAUCUGCAUCAUCGUCAUGUAUUGUGUCGGUCAUAAGGAUUGUGGUUGUGGCAGUGCUUCAGCGCUAAGGGCAUGUUUCCAUCAGAAUGUUGGAGCAGCUGGCUCAGCCAACAUGGUGAGGGUGUCUCCCAAGACCUCUGGAUGGGAUUGGCAUUCCACAAAUUGUUCAAUACCUUAUCUACUUUGCAACAAUGGGAUGAUGAGCUGAUUUCUCGUCUAGCGUAAAGAGAGAGAAUGAUAUAUCCGAUGUUCUUAAUUACUAGAGUCAGGGUCCUGCUCAAAUCGUGGUCCUUCUGUUCUAUGUAAUUUUAUUUUCUUGAUGAUGUGAUGUUCUGCCAUUCAUUCUAUGUUAUGCCUGAUGCGUGUGUCUUAAGCCUACCAAUAACUUUUUGGAUCAAUGGUAAAUCUACUGAGCAAACUCCUGUCUUAUCCCAAUUGUGUGUCUUAAGGUUAAUCUAUUCAUAGUUACUUUUCCUUACAAAGGUCAUCUC